GACUUAUUAGCUCAAUUGGUUAGAGCGUCAUACUAAUAAUGCAAAAGUCAUUGGUUCAACUCCUACUUGAGUCA
This 74-nucleotide transfer RNA is filed under the name Glycine max (soybean). It matches the Rfam family "tRNA". From Rfam's summary of the family: Transfer RNA (tRNA) molecules are approximately 80 nucleotides in length. Their secondary structure includes four short double-helical elements and three loops (D, anti-codon, and T loops). The record is from Rfam by way of RNAcentral. RNAcentral also lists the same sequence under 1 other name. Lineage: Eukaryota; Viridiplantae; Streptophyta; Magnoliopsida; Fabales; Fabaceae.